AUGGAGGUGGGCGUUCCGUGGUGCGUUUCUGUGGCAGCAACCUUGGCCUUGCCAGAGACCGGUCCCACUCUCCACACACUCCCACCCUACUUAUAAGAAUUCUGACAUAGCCAACUCCCUAAUAUCUCAGUGCUCAGUCUUUUUGGAAGAGAUGUCUGGGUUUCUAAGUUUCCUGCCUAGAACAAAAGUGAAGGAUGCCAAGAGGACAUCUUUAAUUCUCCAAACAAAUAUUAGCAAAUGGCCCAUAACACAUUUUCCAAACAACAGGUCAACUGAUCUCAGAAAGUGUGACUCCAAGAUCCUGUCUGCCGUUACCACAGAAUUAAGUGGAUCAAUCUGAGCAUCUAUUGUAGUGGAAAAUCCAUGAGAAAAAGACAGCACUAUCUGUCAUUCU
Molecule: long non-coding RNA, 394 nt
Organism: Manis javanica (Malayan pangolin)
Lineage: Eukaryota; Metazoa; Chordata; Mammalia; Pholidota; Manidae
Source: RefSeq, a predicted model, not a curated record